RNAcentral lists this ribosomal RNA (465 nucleotides) under Vreelandella stevensii. Its description in RNAcentral is "partial 16S ribosomal RNA". It matches the Rfam family "Bacterial small subunit ribosomal RNA", at positions 338 to 795 of the family's 1533-position model. Lineage: Bacteria; Pseudomonadati; Pseudomonadota; Gammaproteobacteria; Oceanospirillales; Halomonadaceae. The record is from RNAcentral.
CCUACGGGGGGCUGCAGUGGGGAAUAUUGGAUAAUGGGGGCAACCCUGAUCCAGCCAUGCCGCGUGUGUGAAGAAGGCCCUCGGGUUGUAAAGCACUUUCAGUGAGGAAGAACGCCUGGUGGUUAAUACCCAUCAGGAAAGACAUCACUCACAGAAGAAGCACCGGCUAACUCCGUGCCAGCAGCCGCGGUAAUACGGAGGGUGCGAGCGUUAAUCGGAAUUACUGGGCGUAAAGCGCGCGUAGGUGGCUUGAUAAGCCGGUUGUGAAAGCCCCGGGCUCAACCUGGGAACGGCAUCCGGAACUGUCAAGCUAGAGUGCAGGAGAGGAAGGUAGAAUUCCCGGUGUAGCGGUGAAAUGCGUAGAGAUCGGGAGGAAUACCAGUGGCGAAGGCGGCCUUCUGGACUGACACUGACACUGAGGUGCGAAAGCGUGGGUAGCAAACAGGAUUAGAUACCCCUGUAGUC